AUGAACGCUGGCGGCGUGCCUAAUACAUGCAAGUCGAGCGAACAGACGAGGAGCUUGCUCCUCUGACGUUAGCGGCGGACGGGUGAGUAACACGUGGAUAACCUACCUAUAAGACUGAGAUAACUUCGGGAAACCGGAGCUAAUACCGGAUAAUAUAUUGAACCGCAUGGUUCAAUAGUGAAAGACGGUUUUGCUGUCACUUAUAGAUGGAUCCGCGCCGCAUUAGCUAGUUGGUAAGGUAACGGCUUACCAAGGCAACGAUGCGUAGCCGACCUGAGAGGGUGAUCGGCCACACUGGAACUGAGACACGGUCCAGACUCCUACGGGAGGCAGCAGUAGGGAAUCUUCCGCAAUGGGCGAAAGCCUGACGGAGCAACGCCGCGUGAGUGAUGAAGGUCUUCGGAUCGUAAAACUCUGUUAUUAGGGAAGAACAAAUGUGUAAGUAACUAUGCACGUCUUGACGGUACCUAAUCAGAAAGCCACGGCUAACUACGUG
RNAcentral lists this ribosomal RNA (496 nucleotides) under uncultured bacterium. RNAcentral's name for it is "partial 16S ribosomal RNA". It matches the Rfam family "Bacterial small subunit ribosomal RNA", at positions 29 to 507 of the family's 1533-position model. The record is from RNAcentral.